Molecule: long non-coding RNA, 2119 nt
Organism: Homo sapiens (human)
Lineage: Eukaryota; Metazoa; Chordata; Mammalia; Primates; Hominidae
Source: Ensembl
GCAUCUAAAACCUCUGCCUUGGUUUCUCAUUGUCACAUAGAUUCUACUUCCCUUUUAUGUCAUAUAGAUUCUAUUUGCCUUAUAUGGCACAGGCCAUAGUGCUCUGACCACAAUAUACUUCUCUCCUGCCAUUCCCUCACACACCCUAUCUACCCCAUACCUCCAGCAAAGAACACUCAGCAUCCCAAACAAGUAAAAAAUAAGAUAAGGGACUCAUUCAUCUACAUUUCCCAGAUAUCAUCAUUCAUUUAGCAAACAUCUAUUUCACAUCUUCUAUGUGAUUGGUUGUGAGUAUAAAACAAUGAAGAAAACAUUGUUCCUAUCCAAAAAACUCACAAUCUGAUAAACUUCUGUCACACAGGGCUAUGUCUUCUUGUUUUGAAGGAAAUAGGACACACACUAUCUUUCCAAUCACCAAGGAGAAAGAGGCUGAGGCCCAACAGAACAGCAUAGGUAAUAUGGUAGCCAAAGCUCUCUACUAGAGAAGCAGCUUUCUUUGCUGGACACCAUGGCUCAUGCUUGUAAUCCCAGAGUUUUGUGAGACCAAGGCAGAAGAACCCAGGAGUUGAGCCCAGCAGUUCAAGACCAGCCUGGGCAACAUAGUGAGACCCUGUCACUAUGAAAAAUUUUUAAAAAUUAGCCAGACACAGUGGCAGACACCUGUGUACACACAGCAGCACAUACCAGCUACUUGGGAGGCUGAGGCAGGAGGAUCGCUUGACUGAAACCCUGUCUCUAAAAAGAAAAAAGAGGGGAAAACAACAGAAGCUGCUUCCAAUUAUCAAUCACAUCCAAAUGUGGGCCAACCCAUGCCAUUUACCGACAAAAUAAUGAAGGAUUGGAUAGAGAACUGGCCUUCGAAGUGCAGAGUGAAAUGCAAGAGAGAAUCCGGUGUCAGGCAGAUCUUUGAAGGUCACCAGAUUCUUGAUAAUGCCAGAAACAAGGCCUACCACGUGACCAUGACGAGAACGAUGACCAGGCCCUGGGACGGCCCUGGUGUGAGCAGAGUAAGCAGAGGUGAAACCUUGGAGCCCAAAAGGCCGGCAGAAGAAAGUGAUGAUUUAAGCUCACCAAGAGAGCAUUCAGGUCCUGGGGUAACUGAGGUGUGAAGAAAUACCAGCACUUUGGUAGCAAGAAGGGCCUGUGAUUUCUGCCUUUUGGCAAAAAGCAGACACGAGAAUUUGCAGAUCACACAGAUUAGUGGAACAAGACUAAGUUGACCACUUCCUCAAUGGAUAUAGGGAAGGGAUGACCAGGCUAUGAAAGACUUGGAACCCAGCUCUCACUCCUGACCAAGAUUUCUCAUCAAGCUCCCCUCUCCACUGAGAACCAUUUUCAUCACUCAAUAAAAUUCUCCACUUUCACCACCCUUCAACCUUCCAUGUGACCCCAUUCUUCAUGGACACUGGACAAGAGCUCGAGACCCACCCAGUGCAGUGGUGCUGGGCAGCUCCUCCCUCCCUGAGGGCUGUUCUGCCAACCUCACGACACCAUCAUAGAAGACUUCAGAGACUGACUGUUGCAGGUUGAACUGUGUCCUCCAAAAAGAUAUGUUGAGUCCCUAAUCUCCAGUACCUGUGUAUGUGACCCUAUCCGGAAAUAGAGUUUUUGUGGAUGUAAUCAUACUGGAUUUGGAUGAACCCUAAUCGAAGAUGACCAGGGUCCUUCUAAGAAGAGAAUAGAUGCAUGUGCGCGCAAGCGCGCGCGCGCACACACACACACACACACACACACACACACACACACAGAGGACCAUGUGACAGCUGAGAGAUUGGAGUGACGUGUCUGCAAGCAAAAAAUGCCAAGGAUUGCCAGCAACCACCUAUGGUCUCCUCCCCUAGAUCAUCUAGAGAGAACACAGCCAUGCUGACAUCAUCAUUUCAGGCCUCUAUCCUCUGGAACUGCAAUAUAAUAAACUUCUGUAGUUUUAAGCCACUCCAUUUGUGCUACUUUGUUAUAGAAGCACUAGGAACCUAUUACUCUCACCUUUGCUUUUCCCAUUCACUCUACGGACUUUCCUUUUUAAGCUUCCCUCCCCAAACAUUGUCUCUCAUAGGAUUCUCAUCCAUGUAUUUGUGCAUGAACUUCCCCGCAUCUUAUGAAAUAUCUGAGUAAAUGU